UAUGUUUUUUCCCCUCUAUUUUAAUUAUGUAUGUGAACUCCAACUUUGUUAUAUCUUCUACGAGGAUUGGUCAUGAAUGAGCUCCAGAUCCCAAAUUAAUUUAGAAAAUAAUGGGAGUAGUUCUUUAAUCCAUUUUUUAUUUGGUUUUUAUUUUAGUAUAACACUUCACUUAUGGCUAUCAAAUUACUACAUUUUCUGUGCAGUUAACUUUAAGUCGUUGAUUUCAAACAUUUUGCUCAUAACUCUGAAUAUUAAUAUUUUAAAAUGGUUUGACAUGUAGAGAUUGAAUUAAAUAAGUACAGUAUCAUGAAGAAUCUAAAAACAUUUCUCAUGAGUAAUAGGUUGAAUUAGUUAAAGAUGAUGAUUUCUUAUAUGUCCAAAUAUUUUGUAAAAGAUUCUUUUAUUAUCACACUGGCUGAAAUGGGCCAAAAUUGAGAAUCCAUGGAGCCUCGUUUGAUAAUGUUGCAUGUGAUGGGCCAAAAUUUCCAGCAGAGCGACUCACAAAAAUUCCCUUUUCCAUUGCUCUAAAUGUGCCAAUAGCUAUGCUGUCAUUAUAAAAGGGAGUGCUCUGAACAAGAAUCGAGAGAGAAAGCACAUCGACGCCAUCAUCAAUGGCAGCUUCCAUUCCUGCCAAUAUAUCACCAUCAUCAAUGUGUUUGGAAAUGCUAAUGGCAUUGCAGUCGGAGUCUGCCAUUGAUGAUGGCGUCGAUGUGCUUUCUCUCUCGAUUCUUGUUCAGAGCACUCCCUUUUAUAAUGACAGCAUAGCUAUUGGCACAUUUAGAGCAAUGGAAAAGGGAAUUUUUGUGAGUCGCUCUGCCUGAAAUUUUGGCCCAUCACAUGCAAUAUUAUCAAACGAGGCUCCAUGGAUUCUCAAUUUUGGCCCAUGUCAGCAAGUGUGAUAAUAAAAGAAUCUUUUUCAAAAUAUUUGGACAUAUAAGAAAUCAUCAUCUUUAACUAAUUCAACCUAUUACUCAUGAGAAAUGUUUUUAGAUUCUUCAAGAUACUGUACUUAUUUAAUUCAAUCUCUACAUGUCAAACCAUUUUAAAAUAUUAAUAUUCAGAGUUAUGAGCAAAAUGUCUGAAAUCAACUCUUUAGAGUGAGAGAGACACAGUGAUAGGAAAGCGAGAGUGACAUCUAGUAAAGAAAUUUCGAAAUGGUAUUUUAAUUGUAGAACGAUCCAAUUAGAUUUCAAUGCGCUGUCAAAAUAUUGAAAUUAAUGGUUUAGUUUAGUACAAAACCAUUUCAUGGACAGGUCCACGUGACUCGAAAUCGUUGAUUUCAAAAAAGGGAUUUCAAUUCAAUUUUUCAAUUUGAUAAUUUUUACUUACAACCUUUAUUUCGUGUGGUGGUGUGACUCCAUUAUCAUGCCUUAACAUUGGAGGGUUUAACUUUUAUUACAAAAUAAAAUUUGAACUGCCCAAAAUCUUUCGUAUAUUAUAACUAGUUUAUGGUAUGCGCGUUGCACGUAUUGCAUCGUAAUUAAUUGUCUAGAAAAUGUUACUAAUCUGAGCAUUAUACGAAAAAUUAAAUCAUGUAUGACUUAAAGUUAACUGCACAGAAAAUGUAGUAAUUUGAUAACCAUAAGUGAAGUGUUAUACUAAAAUAAAAACCAAAUAAAAAAUGGAUUAAAGAACUACUCCCAUUAUUUUCUAAAUUAAUUUGGGAUCUGGAGCUCAUUCAUGACCAAUCCUCGUAGAAGAUAUAACAAAGUUGGAGUUCACAUACAUAAUUAAAAUAGAGGGGAAAAAACAUAUUUACCUUAUAUAAGUUUCAUAUUUUACUCUUAUGUUAAAUAAAAUACAGAAAAUGCUGCAUAACUGAGUAAAAGUAUCAGAAGUACUAUAACAAAACUUUCCUUAAAUUCAUAUGUAAAUGAAAAUGUUGACCGAGAUUCAAAAGGAGGAAUUAAUUGAAAUUGUUGGAAAUGUGUGGAUUCAAAUUCAAAAUCGAUCUUGUAUGGUGUGGUAACAUCAAAUGUUGGGAUAUGAGCCAAAUUGGUCUUCGACAGUGGGACACAUUUAGUUCUAGAAAGAUUUUUAGCUGUUGAUGAAACGAAUAUUCCGGUAAAAUUUCUGAUCUUAAUUAUUGUUUAUUUAUGAUGUAGGAUUUUAUAUUCAAGAGAUAUUCUUAAUUUUGUUAUAUAACCUGUGUCACCAGAUUUCAUAUCAUGGGUAAUGUAAAUGAUCCGGUGAAAAUUUCAGAUCUAGUUCAUUGUUGAUUUCAUAUUCAACAAAUAUACAUAAUUAGAAUUUAUAACCCACCUCGCUAGAUUUUAGAUGAUGAUGUGUAAAUUGAAAUUGAACAGAUAUCUUAAUUAAGUGUGAAGAUCUACCCAAAAAGGAUAUGUUUAAAA
This 2354-nucleotide long non-coding RNA is filed under the name Olea europaea (common olive). RNAcentral describes it as "long non-coding RNA (OEUR_LNC001252)". The record is from RNAcentral. Lineage: Eukaryota; Viridiplantae; Streptophyta; Magnoliopsida; Lamiales; Oleaceae.